Beta vulgaris subsp. vulgaris (sugar beet) is the source of this 746-nucleotide long non-coding RNA. RefSeq lists it as uncharacterized. The transcript is spliced from 3 exons. The record is from RefSeq and is a predicted model, not a curated record. NCBI's taxonomy places the organism in Eukaryota, Viridiplantae, Streptophyta, Magnoliopsida, Caryophyllales, Amaranthaceae.
GAUAUCAUGCAUUGUAAUUAAUGGGGAAUAAGCAUCCACUAUAAUUAUUGGAAACAUAGGAGCAUCCUCAACUGCAUUCGAAGGUAGACAUCUGGAUUUACUACUACUUGAAGAUUUCUUUGAAUAGGGCAAGACAGGGGAAUGAGUAUCCACUGUAAUUUUCUGCAGCUUUUCAGAUCGGUGAUCUUUUACCAUAGCGGCUUAAUCAGCUUUAUUAUCGAAUAUCUAUGAAGAUGAGUUCGAUGUACAAUCACUGCGUCCAAGUGCUUUUAGUAUAAGAUGAAUGAAAUAUAGUAUUUUGUUGGCUUACAAAGAGACUAUAGUCUAUUCUCUUUUCAUUUGCUUCUGGAAAUUUGUUGAAGCUGGAGCAAAGUUUUAUCUAACAGGACCAAACACAACCAAAUAUAAAGUAAUUUGUUCGGCUAAAUCUCGACUUCCCAAUUCAGACUCGUGAUGGCCAACAAUGUGAAAUUUGAUGCAAAGGAGGAGGUUAUAAUCACAGGUUCAAGAUGAUGGUGAAGGAAAAUAAGCCAAGGAUCCAUCAAAUUAGUACAACUCAUAAAGCUAUUAAUGAUUUGAAAAGGCCUUGUAAAAGAUAUAUUUCUUUUGUUAUGCUUUUUUUUUUUGUAAGGUUCGAAGAAGUUGAUAGUACACAUUAUCUAAUUGACUUAUUUUAUUUGUGAUGAAACAGAAUAUUUUAGUGUCUAUUUAAUCAUUAAUAUUAUUAUAUACUAGUCAUUUCUAUC